Long non-coding RNA from Rhagoletis zephyria (snowberry fruit fly), 323 nucleotides. RefSeq lists it as uncharacterized. Lineage: Eukaryota; Metazoa; Arthropoda; Insecta; Diptera; Tephritidae. The record is from RefSeq and is a predicted model, not a curated record.
UGCUCUUCAACAAAAAAAAGGUGUUAUAUUUGAAACAUACAAAAUUUAAGUGAUUAAUUGAAAUUAUAAAUAUUGAUUAUCAGGCUUAAUUCUACGCCCGCAUAAAAAAUAACAAAAAAAAGCUCUAAAAGCAUCUCCUCAAAAAUAAGCAAAUAACUUCAAAUACAUAUAUCACUAGUGUGUUCAUUUCUAAUUCGAAUGAGCGCAAUGAGUGGCCUACGCCAGCAAUUAAAGAUGCUGGGAACAGCAUUGCUGGGGAAACGUACCACAAAGUCUGUCAAAAAGAAACCAUUCACUGAAGUGGAAUUAAGAGGUAAGUUGAA